UAAGGAAUAUCGGACAAUGGAGGCAACUCUGAUCCAGCCAUGCCGCGUGAAGGAAUAAGGCCCUAUGGGUUGUAAACUUCUUUUAGACGGGACAAAACCCCUUUACGUGUAAAGGGUUGAUGGUACUGUCAGAAUAAGCAUCGGCUAACUUCGUGCCAGCAGCCGCGGUAAUACGAAGGAUGCAAGCGUUAUCCGGAAUUAUUGGGUUUAAAGGGUGCGUAGGCGGACUAAUAAGUCAGUGGUGAAAGCCUGCAGCUUAACUGCAGAAUUGCCAUUGAUACUGUUAGUCUUGAGUACAGUUGAGGUAGGCGGAAUGUGUCAUGUAGCGGUGAAAUGCUUAGAUAUGACACAGAACACCGAUUGCGAAGGCAGCUUGCUAAGCUGUAACUGACGCUGAGGCACGAAAGCGUGGGGAGCAAACA
Molecule: ribosomal RNA, 422 nt
Filed under: uncultured bacterium
Lineage: Bacteria
Description: bacterial SSU rRNA
Rfam family: Bacterial small subunit ribosomal RNA
Source: RNAcentral